CAAAAGUUCAAACCUUUACAACCUUUGGAGAAUCCAGCAGUGAACAAAGACAAAGUUGGUGUAAGGAGUUGAUAUAAUUACAGCAACAUCAUAAAGAAAAUCUCCAUCAGAUCCAGUGAACCUCAUCAUUGCAUCAGAGAGGGACAGUGGGAUCUAAAAGUUUGGAUGAUGCUACCAUUCUGUAUGUGUGCAGCUGUUUCUGUUGUUUUUGUUUUCCCGGUUUUCAAGUUUUGUCAAAAUAUAGUAAAAUCUCAAAAAAACAAAAAGAAUCAUCUGUCAAGACAAAUGCAGGAUGCCACCCUGGAAAUCUACCACCCGUCUGUGGGACCAAAGAGGAAGAACGCAACUCACACUUCAACCUGUAGCACAUAUUCUGCUGUCCAAUACUCCGCAAUUGUGGAUCAUCUUCCAUAAAGGAAAUGAGGAAACUGA
Long non-coding RNA from Oryzias melastigma (Indian medaka), 432 nucleotides. RefSeq lists it as uncharacterized. The transcript has 4 exons. NCBI's taxonomy places the organism in Eukaryota, Metazoa, Chordata, Actinopteri, Beloniformes, Adrianichthyidae. The record is from RefSeq and is a predicted model, not a curated record.